UACGGAGGAUGCAAGCGUUAUCCGGAAUGAUUGGGCGUAAAGCGUCCGCAGGUGGCUGUGUAAGUCUGCUGUCAAAGAGCGAAGCUCAACUUCGUAAAGGCAGUGGAAACUACACGGCUAGAGUGCGUUCGGGGCAGAGGGAAUUCCUGGUGUAGCGGUGAAAUGCGUAGAGAUCAGGAAGAACACCGGUGGCGAAGGCGCUCUGCUGGGCCGCAACUGACACUGAGGGACGAAAGCUAGGGGAGCGAAUGGG
Molecule: ribosomal RNA, 253 nt
Filed under: uncultured bacterium
Lineage: Bacteria
Description: partial 16S ribosomal RNA
Rfam family: Bacterial small subunit ribosomal RNA
Source: RNAcentral